RNAcentral lists this ribosomal RNA (253 nucleotides) under uncultured bacterium. Its description in RNAcentral is "partial 16S ribosomal RNA". It matches the Rfam family "Bacterial small subunit ribosomal RNA", at positions 524 to 776 of the family's 1533-position model. The record is from RNAcentral.
UACGUAGGGACCGAGCGUUGUCCGGAAUCAUUGGGCGUAAAGAGCGUGUAGGCGGCUAUUUAAGUCCUGCGUGAAAUCCUGCGGCUCAACCGCAGACGGUCGUGGGAAACUGGAUGGCUAGAGUGCGGGAGAGGAGAGUGGAAUUCCCGGUGUAGCGGUGAAAUGCGCAGAUAUCGGGAGGAACACCGGUGGCGAAGGCGGAUCUCUGGGCCUUGCCUGACGCUGAGGCGCGAAAGCUAGGGGAGCGAACAGG